UACGUAGGGCGCAAGCGUUGUCCGGAAUUAUUGGGCGUAAAGAGCUCGUAGGUGGCGUGUCGCGUCUGCCGUGAAAGCCCAUGGCUUAACUGUGGGUCUGCGGUGGAUACGGGCAGGCUGGAGGCUGGUAGGGGCAAGCGGAAUUCCUGGUGUAGCGGUGAAAUGCGCAGAUAUCAGGAGGAACACCCGUAGCGAAGGCGGCACUCUGGGCCGAUACUGACACUGAGGAGCGAAAGCGUGGGGAGCGAACAGG
This 253-nucleotide ribosomal RNA is filed under the name uncultured bacterium. Its description in RNAcentral is "partial 16S ribosomal RNA". It matches the Rfam family "Bacterial small subunit ribosomal RNA", at positions 524 to 776 of the family's 1533-position model. The record is from RNAcentral.